RNAcentral lists this ribosomal RNA (516 nucleotides) under uncultured Glomus. RNAcentral describes it as "SSU rRNA". It matches the Rfam family "Eukaryotic small subunit ribosomal RNA", at positions 569 to 1088 of the family's 1831-position model. Lineage: Eukaryota; Fungi; Glomeromycota; Glomeromycetes; Glomerales; Glomeraceae. The record is from RNAcentral.
AGCAGCCGCGGUAAUUCCAGCUCCAAUAGCGUAUAUUAAAGUUGCUGCAGUUAAAAAGCUCGUAGUUGAAUUUCGGGACCAAUAUGUCGGUCGUGCCUCGGUACGUACUGGCAUCGUUGGUUUCUCCCUUCUGACGAACCAUGGUGUCAUUUAUUUGGUGUCGUGGGGAAUCAGGACUGUUACUUUGAAAAAAUUAGAGUGUUUAAAGCAGGCUCACGCUUGAAUACAUUAGCAUGGAAUAAUGAAAUAGGACGUUUGAUUCUAUUUUGUUGGUUUCUAGGAUCGACGUAAUGAUUAAUAGGGAUAGUUGGGGGCAUUAGUAUUCAAUUGUCAGAGGUGAAAUUCUUGGAUUUAUUGAAGACUAACUACUGCGAAAGCAUUUGCCAAGGAUGUUUUCAUUAAUCAAGAACGAAAGUUAGGGGAUCGAAGACGAUCAGAUACCGUCGUAGUCUUAACCAUAAACUAUGCCGACUAGGGAUCGGAUGAUGUUAAUUUUUAAUGACUCAUUCGGCGCCG